CCUACGGGUGGCAGCAGUGGGGAAUAUUGCACAAUGGGGGAAACCCUGAUGCAGCCACGCCGCGUGAGUGAAGAAGUAAUUCGGUAUGGAAAGCUCUAUCAGCAGGGAAGAAAAUGACGGUACCUGAGUAAGAAGCCCCGGCUAACUACGUGCAAGCAGCCGCGGUAAUACGUAGGGGGCAAGCGUUAUCCGGAUUUACUGGGUGUAAAGGGAGCGUAGACGGUGGUGCAAGUCUGGAGGGAAAGGCCGGGGCUCAACCCCCGGACUGCUUUGGAAACUGGCGGCCUGGAGUGCGGGAGAGGUAAGCGGAAUUCGUAGUGUAGCGGUGAAAUGCGUAGAUAUCAGGAAGAACACCAGUGGCGAAGGCGGCUUGCUGGACAGUAACUGACGUUGAGGCUCGAAAGCGUGGGGAGCAAACAGGAUUAGAUACCCCGGUAGUC
Molecule: ribosomal RNA, 440 nt
Filed under: uncultured bacterium
Lineage: Bacteria
Description: partial 16S ribosomal RNA
Rfam family: Bacterial small subunit ribosomal RNA
Source: RNAcentral